UACGGGGGGAGCAAGCGUUGUUCGGAUUUACUGGGCGUAAAGGGCGCGUAGGCGGCGCAACAAGUCACUUGUGAAAUCUCCGGGCUUAACCCGGAGCGGUCAAGUGAUACUGUCGUGCUAGAGUGCGGAAGGGGCAACUGGAAUUCUCGGUGUAGCGGUGAAAUGCGUAGAUAUCGAGAGGAACACCUGCGGCGAAAGCGGCUCACUGGACCAUAACUGACGCUGAGGCGCGAAAGCUAGGGGAGCAAACAGG
Molecule: ribosomal RNA, 253 nt
Filed under: uncultured bacterium
Lineage: Bacteria
Description: partial 16S ribosomal RNA
Rfam family: Bacterial small subunit ribosomal RNA
Source: RNAcentral